GAACUUUCCAGAGAUGGACUGGUGCCUUCGGGAACUGUGAGACAGGUGCUGCAUGGCUGUCGUCAGCUCGUGUUGUGAAAUGUUGGGUUAAGUCCCGCAACGAGCGCAACCCUUAUCCUUUGUUGCCAGCGGUCCGGCCGGGAACUCAAAGGAGACUGCCAGUGAUAAACUGGAGGAAGGUGGGGAUGACGUCAAGUCAUCAUGGCCCUUACGACCAGGGCUACACACGUGCUACAAUGGCGCAUACAAAGAGAAGCGACCUCGCGAGAGCAAGCGGACCUCAUAAAGUGCGUCGUAGUCCGGAUUGGAGUCUGCAACUCGACUCCAUGAAGUCGGAAUCGCUAGUAAUCGUGGAUCAGAAUGCCACGGUGAAUACGUUCCCGGGCCUUGUACACACCGCCCGUCACACCAUGGGAGUGGGUUGCAAAAGAAGUAGGUAGCUUAACCUUCGGGAGGGCGCUUACCACUUUGUGAUUCAUGACUGGGGUGAAGUCGUAACAAGGUAACCGUAGGGGAACCUGCGGUUGGAUCACCUCCUUACCUUAAAGAAGC
RNAcentral lists this ribosomal RNA (552 nucleotides) under Salmonella enterica. RNAcentral's name for it is "bacterial SSU rRNA". It matches the Rfam family "Bacterial small subunit ribosomal RNA", at positions 993 to 1533 of the family's 1533-position model. Lineage: Bacteria; Pseudomonadati; Pseudomonadota; Gammaproteobacteria; Enterobacterales; Enterobacteriaceae. The record is from RNAcentral. RNAcentral also lists the same sequence under 1 other name.